UCUUGACAUCCCUCUGACCGGUCUUUAAUCGGACCUUCUCUUCGGAGCAGAGGUGGCAGGUGGUGCAUGGCUGUCGUCAGCUCGUGUUGUGAAAUGUUGGGUUAAGUCCCGCAACGAGCGCAACCCUUAUCCUUUGUUGCCAGCACGUAAUGGUGGGAACUCAAAGGAGACUGCCGGUGAUAAACCGGAGGAAGGUGGGGAUGACGUCAAGUCAUCAUGGCCCUUACGAGUAGGGCUACACACGUGCUACAAUGGCAGAUACAAAGAGAAGCGACCUCGCGAGAGCAAGCGGAACUCGUAAAGUCUGUCGUAGUCCGGAUUGGAGUCUGCAACUCGACUCCAUGAAGUCGGAAUCGCUAGUAAUCGUAGAUCAAAAUGCUACGGUGAAUACGUUCCCGGGUCUUGUACACACCG
This 414-nucleotide ribosomal RNA is filed under the name uncultured bacterium. RNAcentral's name for it is "bacterial SSU rRNA". It matches the Rfam family "Bacterial small subunit ribosomal RNA", at positions 979 to 1392 of the family's 1533-position model. The record is from RNAcentral.